AACGCGAAGAACCUUACCAAGGCUUGACAUCCCAGGAAGGCGCUGGAAACAGUGCUGUGCCUUCGGGAGCCUGGUGACAGGUGCUGCAUGGCCGUCGUCAGCUCGUGUCGUGAGAUGUUGGGUUAAGUCCCGCAACGAGCGCAACCCUUAUCGUCUGUUGAAUUUUUCAGGCGAGACUGCCCCGGCCAACGGGGAGGAAGGUGGGGUCGAAGUCAGGUCAGCAUGGCCCUUACGCCUUGGGCCACACACGUCAUACAAUGGCCGGUACAACGCGAAGCCAACCCGCGAGGGGGAGCUAAUCGUACCAAAACCGGUCCCAGUUCGGAUUGAAGGCUGCAACUCGCCUCCAUGAAGUUGGAAUCGCUAGUAACCGUGGGUCAGCAUACCACGGUGAAUACGUUCCCGGGCCUUGUACACACCGACGCAC
RNAcentral lists this ribosomal RNA (427 nucleotides) under uncultured bacterium. RNAcentral describes it as "bacterial SSU rRNA". It matches the Rfam family "Bacterial small subunit ribosomal RNA", at positions 958 to 1398 of the family's 1533-position model. The record is from RNAcentral.